GACCCUGUUUAUAGGUUGCAAGCCUAAACAUGCCAAGUAAUUUUGGCCGGGGUUU
RNAcentral lists this transfer RNA (55 nucleotides) under Nematolebias whitei (Rio pearlfish). RNAcentral describes it as "tRNA-Cys". Lineage: Eukaryota; Metazoa; Chordata; Actinopteri; Cyprinodontiformes; Rivulidae. The record is from RNAcentral.